RNAcentral lists this transfer RNA (62 nucleotides) under Escherichia coli. Its description in RNAcentral is "tRNA-Gln". The record is from RNAcentral. Lineage: Bacteria; Pseudomonadati; Pseudomonadota; Gammaproteobacteria; Enterobacterales; Enterobacteriaceae.
CGCCAAGCGGUAAGGCACCGGUUUUUGAUACCGGCAUUCCCUGGUUCGAAUCCAUCGAAGAA